AGGACGAACGCUGGCGGCGUGCUUAACACAUGCAAGUCGAGCGGAAAGGCCCUUCGGGGUACUCGAGCGGCGAACGGGUGAGUAACACGUGAGCAACCUGCCCCUGGCUCUGGGAUAGCCUCCGGAAACGGGGAUUAAUACCGGACAUUCACUCUUCUGGGCAUCCUAGAGGGUGGAAAGUUUUUUCGGCCGAGGAGGGGCUCGCGGCCUAUCAGCUUGUUGGCGGGGUAACGGCCCACCAAGGCGACGACGGGUAGCCGGCCUGAGAGGGCGACCGGCCACACUGGGACUGAGACACGGCCCAGACUCCUACGGGAGGCAGCAGUGGGGAAUAUUGCGCAAUGGGCGGAAGCCUGACGCAGCGACGCCGCGUGGGGGAUGAAGGCCUUCGGGUUGUAAACCCCUUUCACCAGGAGCGAAUCAAGACGGUACCUGGGGAAGAAGCGCCGGCUAACUACGUGCCAGCAGCCGC
Molecule: ribosomal RNA, 472 nt
Filed under: uncultured bacterium
Lineage: Bacteria
Description: SSU rRNA
Rfam family: Bacterial small subunit ribosomal RNA
Source: RNAcentral